Molecule: non-coding RNA, 1687 nt
Organism: Phasianus colchicus (ring-necked pheasant)
Lineage: Eukaryota; Metazoa; Chordata; Aves; Galliformes; Phasianidae
Source: RefSeq, a predicted model, not a curated record
AGAAAGCACAACAAAGAGUUAGUAUUAGUGUCUAUACUACUGUUAUUUACAUCAGAACAACAUUUUUCACGCUGAGUAACUCCUAGGCUAAGCAGUAUUAAAAUGGCUGUCUCCUCUACUAUUUUACACUAGGAUUUGGUCCAGACAUGGGAUAUGGACUCAGACUUCCCUUUUCCCCUGGCGAUGGGUUAUAUUCUUGUAAUUGUUCCCUCCUGCUCUGGUGGUAAGGUAAGUUAAUUAUGCAGCUAAUGGUAACAUUGUGGCUCCUAACAUAGUUGGGUUUGAGUCUUAGCUGACUGAGACUAGCUGAGUAAAAUAAAACAAAACUACGUCAGUGAGAAACUUAUUUAUUUAAAAGCAUAGUUCUAUCAACUGUUUUCCCUUAAAGAUAAAAACUGGAAAAUUAAAAGUAGAAUGAAUAUAAACUGGCACUGAAAUAAACAUGAGAAGUUUUAUAAACAUAGGAAGUCACAAUGUAGAUUAUGAGGAGCUUGAGAAAAAAGAAAGUUUAAUAAAGACAAAAAAUGGAAGGUUUAAGAAAAGUCCUUAGAAGCCAUUCUGAUAAUUUCUUGCAUAGGAUGGAAGCUUAUAGUAUUUACAAGUAAGAAAGUUAUUGCUCCUAGAUGUCUGCAAAUAGAAAGAUGCUUUGAUGGUUAGGCAGAAACAUGAUUGUUUUAAAGGAUUAUUUAUAACCAUAUUUUAUCUUGAACAUUACCUAUAACACAGCAAAGAAGAAAAACAUUGUUUCACAGUUGAAUAGAAUGAAGCAGACGUGAACAUACCAGAUAUUUAGUAGAUUUCCUAAGUAUCUCUUUUCCUCUAUUUUUAGGCACUUCAACUACAUUUUAAUGUUGUACGAUCCAAAGCCUAGUGAAUUCAGCAGAAUUCUAUUUCUUCAUUUAACUUUGGAUCAAGACCUACAGGGGAGUUCUCUCUCUCUCUCUCUUUUUUUUUUUUUUUUUUUCCUGAGCAGCUGAAAUCAAUUGGAGGUUUUAUUUCUGUGGAAUCAGAGCCACAGAAACUUCAGAUUUUUAUAGGAAGAUAAAAACAUCUUAUAGCUGAAGUCUAGUGGACUUAGUAUCAUCUCAUGUGCUCAGAAAUCUCUUUAUCUUCCAGAUUCUGCCCUGUGUGUUUUGAAAUUUUCAUUAAUAAAAAUUAUGAAAAGAUUCUGGAAUGUUUAGUUUAUUUAUAUUUGGUAUAAUACAUUCUUUGAAUAAUAAUCAAUUUGAUGUACUAAAUAAGUUAAUGUCGCAGUUAUUACAGGUUAUUGGGGACGAACAGGAAUUCUUAUGGCAUGAUAUCUUUAAUAAAACUGUAUUACUGACCAGUAACUGAAUUUCCUUUUUUUUUUUUUUUUUUUUAGGGAGGGGAUGUUACCUCUUCCAUAGAUUCAUAAUCUUUAGAUAAAUAUAUGAGAACACCAUCUGAGACAUCAAAGAGCUGUUGAAGUUGUCAAAUUUCAGGUGCUUAAAAAUUGUGAAGGAAAAAUGGUAGUCAUGGAGAGCAGGAGAACAAAGACACAAACGACGAAUGCCAUAGAAAAUUAUGUGAAAAGAAGUUGCUUCAUUACUAGACUAUGCUUCUAUCUCUUUGAGUAAUCUCUACGGGCUUCAUUUAGCAAAGUGUUCUGACAUCAGAAACAUAAACUCUGUAUUGUGAGUAGUGCUUUUUUUUUUUUUUUUUUUAA